UAGCAAUACAAUGGAAAAUCUAGUGGCGAACGGGUGCGUAACACGUGGGCAAUCUGCCUUAAAGUGGGGGAUAGCUCGGCGAAAGCCGGAUUAAUACCGCAUGUGAUCAGCGAGGACAUCUUCGCGAAAUCAAAGGUGGCGCAAGCUACCGCUUUUUGAGGAGCCCGCGGCCUAUCAGCUUGUUGGUGAGGUAACGGCUCACCAAGGCGAUGACGGGUAGCUGGUCUGAGAGGACGACCAGUCACACUGGGACUGAGACACGGCCCAGACACCUACGGGUGGCAGCAGUCGAGAAUUUUUCUCAAUGGGGGAAACCCUGAAGGAGCGACGCCGCGUGGAGGAUGAAGGUCUUCGGGUUGUAAACUCCUGUCAUUUGGGAACAAUGCGUACGUAGUAACUGUACGUGCGUUGAUAGUACCAGAAGAGGAAGAGACGGCUAACUCUGUGCCAGCAGCCGCGGUAAUACAGAGGUCUCAAGCGUUGUUCGGAUUCAUUGGGCGUAAAGGGUGCGUAGGCGGCGCGGUAAGUCGGGUGUGAAAUCUCGGAGCUUAACUCCGAAAUUGCAUUCGAUACUGCCGUGCUUGAGGACUGGAGAGGAGACUGGAAUUCUCGGUGUAGCA
Molecule: ribosomal RNA, 620 nt
Filed under: uncultured Verrucomicrobiota bacterium
Lineage: Bacteria; Pseudomonadati; Verrucomicrobiota
Description: bacterial SSU rRNA
Rfam family: Bacterial small subunit ribosomal RNA
Source: RNAcentral